AUUGAACGCUGGCGGCGUGCUUAACACAUGCAAGUCGUGCGGUAACAGGCGUAGCAAUACGUGCUGACGAGCGGCGAACGGGUGCGUAAUACAUGGGAAUCUGCCUUUUAGUGGGGAAUAACCCGGCGAAAGCCGGGCUAAUGCCGCAUAAGAUCUUCGGAUGAAAGCGGGGGAUCGUAAGACCUCGCGCUUGAUGAGGGGCCCGCGUCUGAUUAGCUAGUUGGGAGGUAACGGCCCACCAAGGCAACGAUCAGUAUCCGGCCUGAGAGGGCGGACGGACACACUGGGACUGAGACACGGCCCAGACUCCUACGGGAGGCAGCAGUGGGGAAUUGUUCGCAAUGGGCGCAAGCCUGACGACGCAACGCCGCGUGGAGGAUGAAGGUCUUCGGAUUGUAAACUCCUGUUGCCCGGGACGAAUGGCUCCGACCUAACACGUCGGAGUGUGACGGUACCGGGUGAGGAAGCCCGGCUAACUCUGUGCCAGCAGCCGCCGUAAC
Molecule: ribosomal RNA, 500 nt
Filed under: uncultured bacterium
Lineage: Bacteria
Description: bacterial SSU rRNA
Rfam family: Bacterial small subunit ribosomal RNA
Source: RNAcentral